GAAACAAAUCUUUGUAUUGACUUUACAGGGUCUUUCUGUCAAAAGUGGUUGGGAGUGGUCGGACUGCAUUGGUUGGUGUCCCUAAUGACGUGUCCAGGAGGUUAUAAACAAGCACGCUCAUCCUUCAUUGCCACUACCGAAUCAAUGUGUUUAAGGCGUGUCAUUGUCAUUCCAUUCCACAGGUGCCCCCGUAAACGUUACAUGCAAUAUUUUUAUCAACAGCUUCGGCUCGGUCACGGAGACAACCAUGGUCCGCCCGUUAACGUUACCUGCAACAUAUUUAUCAACAGCUUCGGUUCUAUAGCUGAAACUACCAUGGUGAGUUGAGGGGUCGAAAACACUGAGUGAAUUCUUCAUCAUUU
Molecule: long non-coding RNA, 362 nt
Organism: Hippocampus comes (tiger tail seahorse)
Lineage: Eukaryota; Metazoa; Chordata; Actinopteri; Syngnathiformes; Syngnathidae
Exons: 2
Source: RefSeq, a predicted model, not a curated record